AGUGAACGCUGGCGGCAGGCUUAACACAUGCAAGUCGAACGGCAGCACAGUAAGUGCUUGCUCUUCUGGAUUGCGAGAGGCGGGCGGGAGAGGUAGGCAUCGUACUCUACACUUUCGUGGGGGAUAACGUAGGUAAACCUACUCCAAUAUCGCAUACGACCUACGGGUGUAUGCAGGAGAGCUUCGCACCUUGCGCGAUUGAAUGAGCCUAUGUCGGAUUAGCUAGUUGGCGGGGUUAAGGACCAGUAAGGCGACGAUCCGUAGCUGGUCUGAGAGGAUGAGCAGCCACACUAGAGCUGAGACCCAGUCCAGACUCCUACGGGAGGCAGCAGUGGGGAAUGUUGGACAAUGGGCGCAAACCGGAUCCAGCGAUACCGCGUGGGUGAAGAAGGCCUUCGGGUUGUAAAGCCCUUUUGUUGGGUAAGAACAGCAGCAGGUUGAUACCCCGCUGUUGUGACGGUACCCGGAGAAGAAGCACCGGCUAACUUCGUG
RNAcentral lists this ribosomal RNA (492 nucleotides) under uncultured bacterium. RNAcentral's name for it is "partial 16S ribosomal RNA". It matches the Rfam family "Bacterial small subunit ribosomal RNA", at positions 29 to 507 of the family's 1533-position model. The record is from RNAcentral.